AUUGAACGCUGGCGGCAUGCCUUACACAUGCAAGUCGAACGGCAGCGGACCUUCGGGUGCCGGCGAGUGGCGAACGGGUGAGUAAUAUAUCGGAACGUACCUUUCAGUGGGGGAUAACGUAGCGAAAGUUACGCUAAUACCGCAUAUUCUGUGAGCAGGAAAGCAGGGGAUCGCAAGACCUUGCGCUGACUGAGCGGCCGAUAUCAGAUUAGCUAGUUGGUGAGGUAAAGGCUCACCAAGGCGACGAUCUGUAGCGGGUCUGAGAGGAUGAUCCGCCACACUGGAACUGAGACACGGUCCAGACUCCUACGGGAGGCAGCAGUGGGGAAUUUUGGACAAUGGGCGCAAGCCUGAUCCAGCCAUGCCGCGUGAGUGAAGAAGGCCUGGUGUAAGACU
RNAcentral lists this ribosomal RNA (396 nucleotides) under uncultured bacterium. Its description in RNAcentral is "bacterial SSU rRNA". It matches the Rfam family "Bacterial small subunit ribosomal RNA", at positions 30 to 432 of the family's 1533-position model. The record is from RNAcentral.